GCUAGGAGUUGCUGUGGCUGGAGCUCGGGGUCAGCGAGCGACCUCGGCCGCGUGCUGCAACUUCGGGGCAGCGGCGGGCCCUGGCUCUGCCGCUUGGCCGCGUACCGCACCGACGCGGACCGCUCGAACGCGCCCAGGCCACCGGACGCGCCCCUCUGCCCCAGCACGAGCGCCGCUGCUGCAGUAAGCGCCUCCUCGUCUAUGGACACGGAGGCCUUAGCGGAGUCCCUCCCGCCGCCGCCACGGCCGCGGGAAGAGGUGGACGAGCGCCGCUUCGGCUGCGGCGGCGGGGACCUGUUCCCCGACGGGAUUGGGUCGGAGAGGCAGGACAUCAGCGAGCCCAUCGGGCCGAGCCGGGUAGAUUCGGAGCAGGAAAAUCCUCGCCUUGCUGCCCCGGUGCU
This 401-nucleotide unclassified non-coding RNA is filed under the name Zea mays. Its description in RNAcentral is "misc RNA Zm00001eb108860". Lineage: Eukaryota; Viridiplantae; Streptophyta; Magnoliopsida; Poales; Poaceae. The record is from RNAcentral.